This 431-nucleotide ribosomal RNA is filed under the name uncultured bacterium. RNAcentral's name for it is "partial 16S ribosomal RNA". It matches the Rfam family "Bacterial small subunit ribosomal RNA", at positions 29 to 507 of the family's 1533-position model. The record is from RNAcentral.
AACGAACGCUGGCGGCAGGCUUAACACAUGCAAGUCGAACGCCCCGCAAGGGGAGUGGCGCCCGGGUGAGUAACGCGUGGAUAUCUGCCUUUUGGUUCGGAAUAACCCCGGGAAACUGGGGCUAAUACCGGAUUGUUCCUACGGGAUAAAGAUUUAUCGCCAAAAGAUGAGUCCGCGUACGAUUAGCUAGUUGGUGAGGUAAUGUCUCACCAAGGCGACGAUCGUUAGCUGGUCUGAGAGGACGAUCAGCCACACUGGGACUGAGACACGGCCCAGAAUCCUACGGGAGGCAGCAGUGGGGAAUAUUGGACAAUGGGGGCAACCCUGAUCCAGCCAUGCCGCGUGAGUGAUGAAGGCCUUCGGGUUGUAAAGCUCUUUUGGCGGGGACGAUGAUGACGGUACCCGCAGAAUAAGCCCCGGCUAACUUCGUG